AUUUGUAUUAUUUCCAGUGUGAAGGAUACACAGGAGGCCUUGGCUGCAGUUGAACAUGGACACUCCUGAGAAGAAACCAGCCAGUUCCACAGCAAACAGACCGAGAGUGACGGCCAGCGCCACCACCAACCUGGAGACAGACACACACACGAGAGGGUUCAUUUUUAAUGGUGGAUGCACUGGAUGAUUACAGAAUGUGUAAAUCCUGAGCCAUGAAUGAACGACAUGUCUGCAGAAAAGUCCUGCUGUUUUUUUUUUUUUUGUUGGAAUUUUGAUGUUUUUGUUAUUACUUUAUUUGAUUUCACUUAAUACAGUCAGUUUCUCUGAUCAUUGUUACGUCUGCUUUGCUAUUAAAAAAAAAUUGAAUUAAAGACACGUUAGAAGCAAAUGUAA
Molecule: long non-coding RNA, 393 nt
Organism: Amphiprion ocellaris (clown anemonefish)
Lineage: Eukaryota; Metazoa; Chordata; Actinopteri; Pomacentridae
Exons: 3
Source: RefSeq, a predicted model, not a curated record